RNAcentral lists this ribosomal RNA (301 nucleotides) under uncultured bacterium. RNAcentral's name for it is "partial 16S ribosomal RNA". It matches the Rfam family "Bacterial small subunit ribosomal RNA", at positions 509 to 807 of the family's 1533-position model. The record is from RNAcentral.
CAGCAGCCGCGGGAAAACCGAGGGUGCAAGCGUUAAUAGGAUUUACUGGGCGUAAAGGGCGCGUAGGUGGUUAUUUAAGUGAGAUGUGGAAGCCCCGGGCUUAACCUGGGAACUGCAUCUUAUACUGGGUAACUGGAGUGCAGUAGAGGGUAGUGGAAUUUCCGGUGUAGCGGUGAAAUGCGUAGAUAUCGGAAGGAACACCAGUGGCGAAGGCGGCUACCUGGACUGAGACUGACACUGAGGCGCGAGAGCGUGGGGAGCAAACAGGAUUAGAGACCCCCGUAGUCCCUGUCUCUUAUAC